RNAcentral lists this ribosomal RNA (330 nucleotides) under uncultured Oscillospiraceae bacterium. RNAcentral's name for it is "partial 16S ribosomal RNA". The record is from RNAcentral. Lineage: Bacteria; Bacillati; Bacillota; Clostridia; Eubacteriales; Oscillospiraceae.
GGAGUCUGGGCCGUAUCUCAGUCCCAAUGUGGCCGUUCAACCUCUCAGUCCGGCUACUGAUCGUCGACUUGGUGAGCCGUUACCUCACCAACUAUCUAAUCAGACGCGAGCCCAUCUCAGAGCACAUUAAGCUUUGACUUUCAGAAGAUGCCUUCCAAAAGUAUCAUGCGGUAUUAGCAGCCGUUUCCAGCUGUUGUCCCCCUCUCUGAGGCAGGUUGCUCACGCGUUACUCACCCGUCCGCCACUAAGUCAUACCUUCCUUUGGCCGAAACCUCAUUCCAAUAUGCUUCGUUCGACUUGCAUGUGUUAGGCACGCCGCCAGCGUUCAUC